Molecule: ribosomal RNA, 468 nt
Filed under: uncultured bacterium
Lineage: Bacteria
Description: partial 16S ribosomal RNA
Rfam family: Bacterial small subunit ribosomal RNA
Source: RNAcentral
GACGAACGCUGGCGGCGUGCUUAACACAUGCAAGUCGAACGGCAAGGCCCUGCUUUUGUGGGGUGCUCGAGUGGCGAACGGGUGAGUAACACGUGAGUAACCUGCCCUUGACUUUGGGAUAACUUCAGGAAACUGGGCCUAAUACCGGAUAGGAGCUCCUGCUGCAUGGUGGGGGUUGGAAAGUUUCGGCGGUUGGGGUUGGACGCGCGGCUUAUCGGCCUGUUGGUGGGGUAGUGGCUUACCAAGGCUUUGACGGGUCGCCGGCCUGGGAGGGUGACCGGGCCCAUUGGGACUACGGGAGGGCGCAGACGCCAACGGGAGGCAGCAGUGGGAAGUAUGGCACAGUGGGCGGACGCCUGAUGCGGCGACGCCGGGUGCGGGGUGACGGUCUUCGGGUUGUAAACCGCUUUAGCUUGUGACGAAGCGUGAGUGACGGUAAUGGGUAAAGAAGCACCGGCUAACUACGUG